This 76-nucleotide transfer RNA is filed under the name Deltaproteobacteria bacterium. RNAcentral's name for it is "tRNA-Glu". It matches the Rfam family "tRNA". Rfam says of the family: Transfer RNA (tRNA) molecules are approximately 80 nucleotides in length. The record is from RNAcentral. Lineage: Bacteria; Pseudomonadati; Myxococcota; Myxococcia.
GUCCUUAUCGUCUAGAGGCCUAGGACGACAGCCUUUCACGUUGUAGACAUGGGUUCGAAUCCCAUUAGGGACACCA